RNAcentral lists this ribosomal RNA (780 nucleotides) under uncultured bacterium. RNAcentral describes it as "bacterial SSU rRNA". It matches the Rfam family "Bacterial small subunit ribosomal RNA", at positions 9 to 778 of the family's 1533-position model. The record is from RNAcentral.
GAGUUUGAUCCUGGCUCAGAUUGAACGCUGGCGGCAUGCCUAACACAUGCAAGUCGAACGGAAACGAUGGAAGCUUGCUUCCAGGCGUCGAGUGGCGGACGGGUGAGUAAUACUUAGGAAUCUGCCCAAUAGUGGGGGACAACUCGAGGAAACUCGAGCUAAUACCGCAUACGCCCUACGGGGGAAAGCGGAGGAUCUUUCGGGACUUCGCGCUAUUGGAUGAGCCUAAGUCGGAUUAGCUUGUUGGUGAGGUAAAAGCUCACCAAGGCGACGAUCCGUAGCUGGUCUGAGAGGACGAUCAGCCACACUGGGACUGAGACACGGCCCAGACUCCUACGGGAGGCAGCAGUGGGGAAUAUUGGACAAUGGGGGCAACCCUGAUCCAGCAAUGCCGCGUGUGUGAAGAAGGCCUGCGGGUUGUAAAGCACUUUCAGUAGAGAAGAAAAGCUUACGGUUAAUACCCGUGAGUCUUGACGUAACCUACAGAAGAAGCUCCGGCUAACUCCGUGCCAGCAGCCGCGGUAAUACGGAGGGAGCGAGCGUUAAUCGGAAUUACUGGGCGUAAAGCGCGCGUAGGCGGCUUUGUAAGUCGGAUGUGAAAGCCCAGGGCUCAACCCUGGAAUUGCAUUCGAUACUGCAGAACUAGAGUAUGGUAGAGGGAAGUGGAAUUUCCGGUGUAGCGGUGAAAUGCGUAGAUAUCGGAAGGAACACCAGUGGCGAAGGCGACUUCCUGGGCCAAUACUGACGCUGANGUGCGAAAGCGUGGGGAGCAAACAGGAU